GGCUUCCUGGUGUAAAUGGUUAUCACGUCAGUCUAACAACGGUCCAAUUGGACCGGUUAAUCACUGAAGGUACUCGGAUCGAUCCCGGGGGAAGUCA
Piloderma croceum F 1598 is the source of this 97-nucleotide non-coding RNA. The record is from the annotation of a GenBank genome assembly. Lineage: Eukaryota; Fungi; Basidiomycota; Agaricomycetes; Atheliales; Atheliaceae.